This 243-nucleotide ribosomal RNA is filed under the name uncultured bacterium. RNAcentral's name for it is "partial 16S ribosomal RNA". It matches the Rfam family "Bacterial small subunit ribosomal RNA", at positions 524 to 764 of the family's 1533-position model. The record is from RNAcentral.
UACAGAGGGUGCAAGCGUUGUUCGGAAUUAUUGGGCGUAAAGGGCGCGUAGGCGGUGCUGUAAGUCUGUAGUGAAAUCUCUGGGCUCAACUCAGAGUCUGCUAUAGAAACUGCAGUGCUGGAGUGUGGGAGAGGUGAGUGGAAUUCCCGGUGUAGCGGUGAAAUGCGUAGGAUAUCGGGGAGGAACACCUGUGGCGAAAGCGGCUCACUGGACCACAACUGACGCUGAGGCGCGAAAGCUACG